RNAcentral lists this ribosomal RNA (660 nucleotides) under Herbaspirillum sp. S06. Its description in RNAcentral is "bacterial SSU rRNA". It matches the Rfam family "Bacterial small subunit ribosomal RNA", at positions 8 to 661 of the family's 1533-position model. The record is from RNAcentral. Lineage: Bacteria; Pseudomonadati; Pseudomonadota; Betaproteobacteria; Burkholderiales; Oxalobacteraceae.
AGAGUUUGAUCCCUGCUCAGAUUGAACGCUGGCGGCAUGCCUUACACAUGCAAGUCGAACGGCAGCAUAGGAGCUUGCUCCUGAUGGCGAGUGGCGAACGGGUGAGUAAUAUAUCGGAACGUGCCCUAGAGUGGGGGAUAACUAGUCGAAAGACUAGCUAAUACCGCAUACGAUCUAAGGAUGAAAGUGGGGGAUCGCAAGACCUCAUGCUCCUGGAGCGGCCGAUAUCUGAUUAGCUAGUUGGUGGGGUAAAAGCCUACCAAGGCGACGAUCAGUAGCUGGUCUGAGAGGACGACCAGCCACACUGGGACUGAGACACGGCCCAGACUCCUACGGGAGGCAGCAGUGGGGAAUUUUGGACAAUGGGGGCAACCCUGAUCCAGCAAUGCCGCGUGAGUGAAGAAGGCCUUCGGGUUGUAAAGCUCUAUUGUCAGGGAAGAAACGGUUCCAGCUAAUAUCCAGAGCUAAUGACGGUACCUGAAGAAUAAGCACCGGCUAACUACGUGCCAGCAGCCGCGGUAAUACGUAGGGUGCAAGCGUUAAUCGGAAUUACUGGGCGUAAAGCGCGUGCAGGCGGUUGUGUAAGACAGAUGUGAAAUCCCCGGGCUCAACCUGGGAAUUGCAUUUGUGACUGCACGGCUAGAGUGUGUCAGAGGGGGG